This 500-nucleotide unclassified non-coding RNA is filed under the name Agromyces sp. VKM Ac-1802. Lineage: Bacteria; Bacillati; Actinomycetota; Actinomycetes; Micrococcales; Microbacteriaceae. The record is from RNAcentral.
GGAAGGCUUCGGUCUUUCGCAGUGCAGACCAGAUCAAGUCCAAUGUGGCUUGCUGGUUGCUCAUGGGUGGAACAUUGACAUAGGUGCUCGUCUGAAUGGUUCAGACCUAGUACGCCUCUUCGGGGGUUGGAACGGUUGGGGCCGGCCGGUCGGGUGCAUGCACGCUGUUGGGUCCUGAGGGACCGGACGAACCCUGGCGCUCGUUUCGAGUGUUCGGGGGUGAUGGUUUCUUCAGACCUUCGCCGAGAUCAGCUGUGUGCUGGUGGGUGUGGGGGUUCUGGCCGUCUGUUGAGAACUACAUAGUGGACGCGAGCAUCUUAGAUUCAGGACUUUGUCCUGGAUCACAAAAGGUGAGUCGCCAAGGGCAUGCCUUCGGGUGUGUUGUUUGGCGUAUUCACUGGUCAAUUUCGCAGCACUUUCGGGUGUUGCACGAAUUCGAUCGAACUCAUGUGAUUUCAAGUUUCUAAGAGCAAACGGUGGAUGCCUUGGCAUCUGGAGCC